CUCAUAGCGCAUUAGCUACUGAAACUGUAUCAUGCUACCAACAAAGAAUUGUUCAUCAUAAAAUAAGGGUAAAUGUCAUAUUAGCCAAUCGAACUUGUCGUGUUUGUUUUAAAAGGUCACCCAACUUUUUUUUGGUACAUUAAGGAAAUGAACUCUCGUUCAACCUGUUAAAAAGGUCACUUAACCCACUAUAAGAGGUUUUAAUCUCAUUGUAGUCUCAUCUCCUCCAACCUCCUCUCUGCAGUUUGCGUGUACUCCAUUGCAGGUUACAAAAUGAAAGUUUGAUUUUUUGCUUUGACCUUUGACUUGGUCAAAAUCAAAAGUCAGUUUAUUUUCUUUUUAGGUCGAAGCCCUGUAUCAGUUAUCAAACGACUCCAGCUAAGGAAGGGGCAUCGUCUUCUUCCCCUUCGACUAAUCGGGAACGAGAAAAGGAACAUAACGCCAUCGAAGCAGCUCCGAUGGGCAUCGAUCGUGGGUGGGUCAGAGAAGUUACUCUAGGGUUCGUCCGAUUUGAAGAAAUAAGGAGACGAUGGUGGUGGUUCUUGGCCCGGUGAUGGCAAAUUCGUCAGGGGGUAGUGGACCUGCGAUGGCCCUUUUUUGGUUUCCUCUUCAUCAUCGGUACUUACUAAUCGAGGGAAGAGAAACAACUACGAGGGGUGACAUCGGUGUUGGUGGGUCAACGGGUAAAGGCAGAGGGAAACGGGGAACAAAAGGUAGAUUAGGGAAGGAAGGAAUAUGAACGAAAUCAGGAAAUCAGUGGGUCGGUGGCUCUUAAUAGAUCAUGAAGAGGGAUCGACGUCUCGAGACUGUCAAAGGUUGCAGGUAAAUGGACGGGGCUGCUUCAGCAGUUAAUUAUGUGAAGAACAACAAGUGGCAGUUAUCAUAAUCCUCAGAGAUAAUUUCUCUCUAUCUCUUUUCCCCCUUCGUGUUCUUUGAUUUGUUCUUGUUUUUCAAUGUAGAGAGUCAUAUACAUACAAAUCAAUAAUCAAUCACCAAGUUUUUCCGUUCGAUUGAUCUAAAAAUGAAAAUAACUAGGUGACCAGAUCAAGAAGGGUAGAUAAAGUGAGUAUACUUUAAAGGAGGUGGAGGUGCAGUUGAUGGUCAAACAAUGGUCAAGGCACACAUUUUACAGCUUUACCCGGUAUCACAUUACAUAAGGAUAUUUUAAAACAAAAAAAAAAAAAAAAAAAAAAAAAAAAAAAAACAAGAGUUCAUUCCCUUAAUGUUCCAAAAAAAAAAUGUUAGAUGACCUUUUAAAACAAGCACAACAAGUUUGAUAGGCUAAUAAGACAUUUGCCCUAAAAUAAGUACCUAAAAGAAUUUAAUUCAAAUUUAUCUUCUUGUUUGCUUUAAUUGUUAUGAAGAGUUGAUUUCGUAAAAUGAAAAUAAAGUUGCAAAGAUCCCCGCAAAAAAAUUGCAAGCAUGGUUAAUCUUUUUUUCUUUUUUUUUUUUUUUUUUUUUUUUUUUUUUUUUUUAGAUUUCGAUAUAAUAUAUAUUCUAUUAUACUUAAAUUUUGUACAUGUAAGAGUAACGUAUUUAUAGUUUAAGGCUUUAAGCUACCGCUAAUCUACACUUAAAUUAUUACUAAUUCUAUAUUUUGUAAACCUCAAGCAACACCUACAUUGUGAUUUUUAUUCUAUUUCUUGUUGUAUUGAAUAUUGAUACAUUAAGCUUUUUAUUUAAAUUAAUUUAAAUCAACAACAAAAAUACCCUACUUCCAUACAAAUGAGAUAAGAAGGAGGCUAUAGUUGCUUCACUGGAAAACCUCGAUAGAAAUUUUUUUUUAUCAUAAAUGAAUAAUAAUAAUAACAAUAAUAAUUUUCGCUGCAUAUAAAAUGUUAGCUUGCCAUGAUCCUUGUAAAAAUCUUUUCAGCUACUGUAAAACGUUAGCCCACGGGCCACGAUAAAGAAACUACUACGAGGGUAGAAAAGAUAAGCAAAAACAUGAAUAGAAUAAUAUAGGAGAAUUUUAUAUAUACUUUUAUUAUACCUUAAAAUAUCAAUAUCUAAAUAUCAUAUUUAACCUUCUUAAAUUUUAAAAUAUCAUAUUUGUCCAAAACCUUUUAUUAAAUAUUUUAAAAUCAUUAAAAUUGAAAAUAAUAAUUAAAAGUACCGUAUUACCCUUAACUUCUAAAUCAUAGAAACUUCAUCAGCAACUAACUUGAAGUUUGCCAUCGGAAACAAUAAGGUGUUAGAAUGUGUUCAUUCUUUAAAAUAAAAACUCAUGAGAAAUAGUCAAAUUUUGAUCUAUACACACACAAAAUAUAUUAUAAUACACUCAUAUUUUUUAUCCAUUGCCGCACACACAACAAUAUAACAAAAAUUGCAAUUGGUAACAAUCAGCUUACCAAUCAGCGAUAGCUAUUUAAAGUUUUUCUUUUUUCACUUUUGAAGAAAUACAAAAUAAAACCGUAAAAGAAAAUCGUAGUUUAAUCCCCUUUUCUAUUUUUUAAGAAGCAAAAUUUCAAAAUAAAAAAGCAACUAGCAAUUGACACUACGCUGCGAGAAGUUAAAAAUAGGUCUAGAAGAUGAAGUUCCUACGAUUUAGAAGUUAGGGGUAAUAUGGUCUAUUUGAUUGUUAUUUUUUUCAAUUAUAACGAUCUUAAUAUAUGAAAAUUAUUAAAAAGUGAUUUUAAAACAUCUAAUCUAAUUCUAAUAAAUAAGUAGAACUCUGCCACGUGUCACUCUCUAAGGACCCCCAAAAUCGAGUUUUCCCGCUCAUUUAUUCAUCUAUAUUUACGUAAAUGCCAUUGAAUCCAAAUUGAAUCAAAGUUCAAACUGAUGAAAUAAAUCCGAAAAUUUUAGUUGUCAACUGCAAUUUCGUGCGUGAUUUAAGGAUAUUAGAUUAGUAAUUUGAAAAAUUCAGUUAUCACCCCCCUUAUCUUCACGCUCUUCUUCUACAAAUUUGUGUUUAUAUUCUUCAAUUUAUCCAAUGCUAUUUCUUUCUCUCUGUCUCUCUCGCAUAUGGAGAUAUACCUCGAAAAUUCCUAAUCUAUGCUCUCGAUUCUUGAAUCUAGGUUUAAUGACGUCCUCCUCUCCAUCAUGCCCAUCAGGUUAAAGUUUCCCUACUCACAAUAUGUUUACCUUGUGUAUACACGGAAAAAGAAAAUUUAGUAUGGAAUGGAAAUGGGAAUAGUCAUCAGAAACAAACACCAACAGUUCAUGAUUGAUCUCUUCCAGGAGAUUACAACUCCAAAAGCUUCAGUUUUUGAGAUUCCGACGAGGCUGAGCGCAAAUCCGAGCAUCGUUGAUCUUCCGGUUGAAGGUUGUUGUUUUAACCCCCAUUUUUAUGGUAAUCAUCGUCUCAAUUAAUUUCCUUAUUCUCGAGCAAAUCCAAUCAGAUGUAAACUUUAAUCGUUGAUCUGUUAAUUAGGGUUUUCACGCAUAUUUCAAUUGAUUUUUGAAAUUAGUGAUUCUACAAGUUGCUUUGAAGUGUUCGUGUAUUAUAUCCAUGUAUAAUAAUGUGAGUAUUCCGCUAUUUGAUUUUUUAUUUUAUCCGUAGAGAAGUCCAAUGAUCAUUCCUAGAUUUUUUUUAGCGUAAGGAGACUGCAUAAUUUGAAAUUUUGAGGUUAGGUUUGCUUUAAAAAUGCACAUGUUGAACAUUUAAAUUUCGUUAAUCACAUUAUAAAACCAAUAUAGAUGAGAAUGAGUUAAAAUAUCAUUUGUCUUGAGUUGUGCUUGCAACUAUGCUUUUGUAAAUUAACUUCUAUAUUAAAGUUUUGUAUUGUCGAUACACACUUUUACUACCGCCGUUUCCCCAUAAACUAUCAGUCACCACCAUUACACUUCUUCUCUCUUCGGGCCAUUCUCUGAUUUCGCCAAAUUUAUCGUUCUGAUACCAGAGGUGAAGCAAGUGAAGCUUUUGAAUCAUGGUGAAAGCCUUAUAAUUACUUCAUAUGGCAUUUGGGGUGAUUUGUCGACGGAAGCCGCAAUCGAAUAUUGCCGCCAUUUGCCGUCUGUAGUUAUGGUAUUUUUUCUGUUUUCUUAUAAAACACUUUUUCUCCUCUCUAUCACCCAUAAUAUAGGGCUAAAAUGUAGAGAUUUGACAUUGAUAUUGCUGAUUGAAUCACUCAUUUCUGGAUCAAUUAAGGUGCUUUUCUUUAAAAUCUAGAUUUAGAAUCAUAUGUUAACUGAAGUAACUACACCCUGAGAUAAGUUGUUUUGUGGAAGCGAAUCUGUUUUUUUUUUUUUUUUUUUUUUUUUUUUUGAAAGACAGUUGCAUUACUCACCUGUUAAAGAAAUUUUGGUGAAUUUUAAAUUUUUUAAUCCAUUUAUGUAGUCUUGGGAUCAAUUAAGUAUGUGUAAUGCUAUUUCUUGGCACUUGAAAACUUUAAUAAAUUUUGAAGUUUGUUAAUUUUUGUCAGAAAUUAGUUUUUUCUCAGGUGUAUAACCAAUGCAUUGAUGAUAUUGAGGUUGUAUGUGCAAUGCUAUGUAUAAGGAUGUAUUUGAGGUCGA
Lactuca sativa (garden lettuce) is the source of this 4455-nucleotide non-coding RNA. Lineage: Eukaryota; Viridiplantae; Streptophyta; Magnoliopsida; Asterales; Asteraceae. The record is from RefSeq and is a predicted model, not a curated record.